UAAACACCGUGUAUGGAGUACCAAAGAGCAAGGCCAAAGAGUACAGACAAAGCCCAAAUUCUAUUCUAGUUUUAUGACAAAGCCCCAGGCAGUCACGCACGAGGCAUAAUAAUAGGUUACUUAUAGUCUAUUAGUAUUGUAGAAUAUAGUUCUACCGGCGCCACCGGUUGGUACUACUACUAAUACUAUCACUAUCAGCCAGACUCCGGCCUCAGACCACUCAGAUGCAUGCUAGCACCAUGAUGAACGGACCUUGGCCGGACAUGCGAGGUAUUUGCUAACGGUCACAUGUCAACUUAACUGGCCGACAAACCCGGCCAGUGUGGCUCACUCGCUGGCCUGGAGGUGGGACAGCUUGACUCGCCGGCUAACACGUGGCUGGAUGGAAGCAUGGAUGGAUGGAUAGCUAGAUAGACAGUCUGACAGACAGACAGAUGGACAGAUAGAUAGGUAGGUAGA
This is a long non-coding RNA of Priapulus caudatus, 459 nucleotides long. RefSeq lists it as uncharacterized. The record is from RefSeq and is a predicted model, not a curated record. The transcript is spliced from 3 exons. Lineage: Eukaryota; Metazoa; Priapulida; Priapulimorpha; Priapulimorphida; Priapulidae.